UGAGGCACAAAGCAGUUAAGUGAUUUGAGCAAGGUCACACAGCAGACAAGUUCUGCUGAUGGUUCAGGCUUCAAAAAGGGCUAAUAAAUCACAAGGACCCUACUUUGGGUUUCUUCAGGUCUGUGGGGUGGUUGGAGAAGCAAGCCUGGAAGUGCAAUUUAGAAAAGGUUGGGAUGGGGAGGGGUGGGUAGUCUUACCCCCAUCGAGCAAGGCGCCUGUGAGGAAAGCAGGAGCAGCUGAGGUGGGAUUUGCUGCCAUCUGAUUGCAAAUGAUUAGCACCUGGGCAGGAGAGCAAAUAGCUUGGCUGAGAGGUGAUUGCAAUUGUUCAGCAGCUGGGCAGGAGAGCAAACAGCUUUGAGGCUGCAGGAAAGAGGGCUGGGUGCAGUUGGGUCUGCCAGUUGACCGUCGGCAACGGUUAGGGGUUUUGGAUGACCGUAGGCAAAGGUUAGGUGUCAUGGACCCUGCCCCCGGACCCCCGGCCUGCUCCUGGACGAGGCCACUGCCAGGACCGGUCUACACCCGUGGACGAGAGGACCACUCAGUCAAUCCCAGGCACGUGCGCCCCUGUGGAAAUGCCCUCUCUGGAACAGGACUUUAUUGCGGCCAAACGUUUUGGUGAGGAUGUUUCAGGAAAACAGUGUGGCCUCGUGGGACGACCCCAGCCUAGAGCGACAGCAGGCCCAGUGUAUUUUGUGGUGCCUCUGUUUCCUCAUGAUGGAUGGAGCAACAAAAUCGGAGCAGAAGACAGCCCUUGCAAAGGGAAUGAUGAGAAUCUGUGGAAUUAACGGCAUCAUUUUUCAUUUCGGUGACCAGAAUCCAUC
Molecule: long non-coding RNA, 821 nt
Filed under: Ornithorhynchus anatinus (platypus)
Lineage: Eukaryota; Metazoa; Chordata; Mammalia; Monotremata; Ornithorhynchidae
Description: lncRNA (ENSOANG00000037671.1)
Source: RNAcentral